RNAcentral lists this ribosomal RNA (454 nucleotides) under Uvarus rivulorum. RNAcentral describes it as "partial 16S ribosomal RNA". It matches the Rfam family "Bacterial large subunit ribosomal RNA", at positions 1806 to 2533 of the family's 2925-position model. Lineage: Eukaryota; Metazoa; Arthropoda; Insecta; Coleoptera; Dytiscidae. The record is from RNAcentral.
AACAAAAACAUGUCCUUUAGAAUUGAAUUUAAGGUCUAACCUGCCCAUUGAGGAAUUAAAAGGCCGCAGUAUUUUGACUGUGCAAAGGUAGCAUAAUCAUUAGUUUUUUAAUUGAAAGCUUGUAUGAAUGGUUGGACGAGAUAUAAUCUGUCUUUAGGUUAUAAAUAGAAUUUAAUUUUUAAGUUAAAAAGCUUAAAUAAAUUUAAAAGACGAUAAGACCCUAUAGAUCUUUAUAUAUAGAUUUAUAUAAUUUUUAUGGAUUAAAAAUUUUUAUAUUAGUUUGUAUAUUUUAUUGGGGUAAUAAAAAGAUUAAUAAAAUUCUUUUUUCUAUUAACGUAGAUUUUCGAUUUUAAUGAUCCAAUUUUAUUGAUUAUAAGAUUAAGUUACCUUAGGGAUAACAGCGUAAUUUUUUUAAAGAGUUCUUAUCGAUAAAAAAGUUUGCGACCUCGAUGUU